ACACCAGUGGUGUAGUGGUAUCAUGCAAGAUUCCCAUUCUUGCGACCCGGGUUCGAUUCCCGGCUGGUGCA
RNAcentral lists this transfer RNA (71 nucleotides) under Dryobates pubescens (Downy woodpecker). RNAcentral describes it as "Picoides pubescens (downy woodpecker) tRNA". It matches the Rfam family "tRNA". From Rfam's summary of the family: Transfer RNA (tRNA) molecules are approximately 80 nucleotides in length. Their secondary structure includes four short double-helical elements and three loops (D, anti-codon, and T loops). The record is from Rfam by way of RNAcentral. Lineage: Eukaryota; Metazoa; Chordata; Aves; Piciformes; Picidae.